CUCGGAAUUCACCUUGGAUAUUUGAUAUAUUAAAGAUAUCUAUGGAUAUUUGACCCACAUGUAUCCCACAUUUGUUUCAAAUGUCGCGCUUCUCAUGGCCGAACGCAUUAGAAACAGUAGAUAACGUGGCAGUUCAGCUGAUUAUGUAUUGUUUUUUAAAAUGCGUUCGGCACAGGAGAGCGCGACGUUUGAAACAGACCUAUAAAAUGUUGAUUGAAAAUUGCGUGACGUAGCAUGCACUUCUAAGGGUUAAGACCGGAAUUUGAGGUGAAAUUGAUGUAAUUUGUUCGUUAUAAAAACAUUUGUUCUUUAUGAAAGUAUUUAAUAGCAACUUUGUGACGACAAGGAAGGAUUUGGAUCGUGAAAAGCUUUGGCUAUACCAUUAGACAUACGAAAUAUCGUGUAAGUUCGUUGCUUUUCGUUUG
Molecule: non-coding RNA, 425 nt
Organism: Paramuricea clavata
Lineage: Eukaryota; Metazoa; Cnidaria; Anthozoa; Malacalcyonacea; Plexauridae
Source: the annotation of a GenBank genome assembly